GCAGUGGUUGUUCAGUGGCAGAACUCUCAUCUUCCAUGUGGAAGACCUGGGUUCAAUUCCCAGCCCAUGUA
RNAcentral lists this transfer RNA (71 nucleotides) under Loxodonta africana (African savanna elephant). It matches the Rfam family "tRNA". From Rfam's summary of the family: Transfer RNA (tRNA) molecules are approximately 80 nucleotides in length. Their secondary structure includes four short double-helical elements and three loops (D, anti-codon, and T loops). Lineage: Eukaryota; Metazoa; Chordata; Mammalia; Proboscidea; Elephantidae. The record is from Rfam by way of RNAcentral.